Molecule: ribosomal RNA, 501 nt
Filed under: uncultured Glomus
Lineage: Eukaryota; Fungi; Glomeromycota; Glomeromycetes; Glomerales; Glomeraceae
Description: SSU rRNA
Rfam family: Eukaryotic small subunit ribosomal RNA
Source: RNAcentral
AGCAGCCGCGGUAAUUCCAGCUCCAAUAGCGUAUAUUAAAGUUGUUGCAGUUAAAAAGCUCGUAGUUGAAUUUCGAGAUCAAUUUGUUGGUCGUGCCUCGGUACGUACUGGCAAUUUUGAUUUCUCCCUUCUGAAGAACCAUGAUGUCAUUAAUUUGGUGUCAUGGGGAAUCAGGACCGUUACUUUGAAAAAAUUAGAGUGUUUAAAGCAGGCUCGCGCUUGAAUACAUUAGCAUGGAAUAAUGAAAUAGGACGUUUGAUUCUAUUUUGUUGGUUUCUAGGAUCGACGUAAUGAUUAAUAGGGAUAGUUGGGGGCAUUAGUAUUCAAUUGUCAGAGGUGAAAUUCUUGGAUUUAUUGAAGACUAACUACUGCGAAAGCAUUUGCCAAGGAUGUUUUCAUUAAUCAAGAACGAAAGUUAGGGGAUCGAAGACGAUCAGAUACCGUCGUAGUCUUAACCAUAAACUAUGCCGACUAGGGAUCGGAUGAUGUAAUUUUUAAUGA